Magallana angulata is the source of this 848-nucleotide long non-coding RNA. RefSeq lists it as uncharacterized. The transcript is spliced from 4 exons. Lineage: Eukaryota; Metazoa; Mollusca; Bivalvia; Ostreida; Ostreidae. The record is from RefSeq and is a predicted model, not a curated record.
AGUUUUUUUAAGAAGGCCAGGCACGAUAUCAAGAAGAUCAAGCACGAGAUCAAGAAGAUCAGUUGAGAUAUAGUGAGAUCUUUAAUAAAAUAUAGGGUCUGGGUAAUGGGAAUCACAAAAACAAUAAAUCUAUAGAGGAGGUGAUCGAGUUAGAAAUCCAGGAGAGGGCACUCAAAGAGACUGAGCGCGAGAUCAAGGAGAUCAGGUGAGAUAUAGUGAGAUCAAUAAUGACAUACUGAGUCUUGGUGAUGGGGUUCGUAAAACAUAAGUGUGUUUUUGUGAUACAAAGACUCAUCAUUUUUGCUUUUGAGAGUGGCUUCAGAAGAGAAGUUUUAGAGAUGUUUUUAUCAUUUGCAUGCGGGGCCAAACCCUUUAUGUUUUAAUUUUAAAAGUAUGAAUUGUAUUUUAGAAAUGAAAUGUGGUGAUAAUAAACAGUGUUCCGAAGUCCAAAGAAAAAAUACAAAACAGGACCAGAGGAAACAUGGACCUUUACAAAAAUUAGAGCACCACCAAAUGUUGACCACCUCCUCAUCUGAUGGUUGUGUACAAGUUCACCAGCUGAGCUCAGGGGAGCCCAUUCCUGUUUCAUCCUUGAAAGUUCAUAAUAAUGAGGCCUGGAUCACAGUUUCAGUUACUGAGACACCAAUGUUGUCUGCACAGGUUUGAUGUUAACUAAUGGGCUAGAAUAUGAAAAAGUCUUCUUCACUAAUACUCUUCAGUAAAAGCUAUGAUGAGCACCUCCUUGUGUGGAACUGCAGACAGAUGAAGCAUCCACUGGCAGACACACAUUUAGGCGGGACAUCUGUAGGGUCAAUUGGCACCCUGGUCACACACAGCCACGAUGUACA